AGCUCAUUUCUUUUUGUUGCAGAAUAAUAUUCCAUUGCACGGAGGGUUCACCAUUUAUGUAGUCGUGAAUCUAUUGAAGGACACCUCGUUGCCUCUAGUUUUUGGAGAGGCGAACCUGCAGGAAUCUGUGACUGUAUGUGCACCUUCAAUUUGGUCCAUCGUUUGUGAUUGACUUUCGUGUGGCCCUCCGUGAGAAAGCCAAGGUUAAAUUCACGGCCUACCGAGACCGCACGUGUUUUCAUCUUUUCAGACCCUAGGCUUACCACACAUUUCCUGGGCAUGGAACUGACCGGCCAUCCUGUGCCCUGGUCUUCUAGCAACAGCAUGAAAACGUGUGCGUUCGCAGAUGGAAGAAGUUCACACCAGGCACAAGUUGUAACCAGAUCAUACAAGCAUCGUUUACGCU
Acinonyx jubatus (cheetah) is the source of this 406-nucleotide long non-coding RNA. RefSeq lists it as uncharacterized. Lineage: Eukaryota; Metazoa; Chordata; Mammalia; Carnivora; Felidae. The record is from RefSeq and is a predicted model, not a curated record. The transcript has 3 exons.